This 432-nucleotide ribosomal RNA is filed under the name uncultured bacterium. RNAcentral describes it as "partial 16S ribosomal RNA". It matches the Rfam family "Bacterial small subunit ribosomal RNA", at positions 29 to 506 of the family's 1533-position model. The record is from RNAcentral.
AACGAACGCUGGCGGCAUGCCUAACACAUGCAAGUCGAACGAGACCUUCGGGUCUAGUGGCGCACGGGUGCGUAACGCGUGGGAACCUGCCCUUAGGUUCGGAAUAACUCCCCGAAAGGGGUGCUAAUACCGGAUAAUGUCUUCGGACCAAAGAUUUAUCGCCUUUGGAUGGGCCCGCGUUGGAUUAGCUAGUUGGUAGGGUAAAAGCCUACCAAGGCGACGAUCCAUAGCUGGUCUGAGAGGAUGAUCAGCCACACUGGGACUGAGACACGGCCCAGACUCCUAGGGGGGGCAGCAGUGGGGAAUAUUGGACAAUGGGCGAAAGCCUGACCCAGCAAUGCCGGGUGAGUGAUGAAGGCUUUAGGGUUGAAAAGCUUUUUUACCCGGGAUGAUAAUGACAGUACCGGGAAAAAAAGCCCCGGCUAACUCCGU